UCGGGAAUUUUGGGCAAUGGGCGAAAGCCUGACCCAGCAACGCCGCGUGUGGGAUGAAGGCCCUCGGGUCGUAAACCACUGUCAGGAGGAAAGAAAAGUCGGCCGGAUAAUACUCGGUCGACCUGACGGUACCUCCAAAGGAAGCACCGGCUAACUCCGUGCCAGCAGCCGCGGUAAUACGGAGGGUGCAAGCGUUGUUCGGAAUUACUGGGCGUAAAGCGCGUGUAGGUGGUCGAGUAAGUCGAAUGUGAAAGCCCCGGGCUCAACCCGGGAAGUGCAUCCGAAACUGCUCGACUAGAGUCCCGGAGAGGAAGGCAGAAUUCCCAAUGUAGGGGUGAAAUCCGUAGAUAUUGGGAGGAAUACCGGUGGCGAAGGCGGCAUCCUGGACCAAUACUGACGCUGAGGAGCGAAAGCCAGGGGAGCAAACGGGAUUAGAUACCCGCGUAGUCCCUGAGCGGGCUGGCAAGGCGCAU
This 473-nucleotide ribosomal RNA is filed under the name uncultured bacterium. RNAcentral's name for it is "bacterial SSU rRNA". It matches the Rfam family "Bacterial small subunit ribosomal RNA", at positions 355 to 825 of the family's 1533-position model. The record is from RNAcentral.